RNAcentral lists this ribosomal RNA (376 nucleotides) under uncultured bacterium. Its description in RNAcentral is "bacterial SSU rRNA". It matches the Rfam family "Bacterial small subunit ribosomal RNA", at positions 524 to 898 of the family's 1533-position model. The record is from RNAcentral.
UACGGAGGGUGCAAGCGUUAAUCGGAAUGACUGGGCGUAAAGGGUGCGUAGGUGGUUAAUUAAGUUAGUUGUGAAAUUCCUGGGCUCAACCUGGGGUGGUCAACUAAGACUGAAUAACUUGAGUAUAGGAGAGGGUAGUGGAAUUUCCGGUGUAGCGGUGAAAUGCGUAGAGAUCGGAAGGAACACCAGUGGCGAAGGCGGCUACCUGGCCUGAUACUGACACUGAGGCACGAAAGCGUGGGGAGCAAACAGGAUUAGAUACCCUGGUAGUCCACGCUGUAAACGAUGUCAACUAGCUGUUGGUCACGUAGAUGUGAUUAGUGGCGCAGCAAACGCGAUAAGUUGACCGCCUGGGGAGUACGGUCGCAAGAUUAAA